Non-coding RNA from Delitschia confertaspora ATCC 74209, 106 nucleotides. NCBI's taxonomy places the organism in Eukaryota, Fungi, Ascomycota, Dothideomycetes, Pleosporales, Delitschiaceae. The record is from the annotation of a GenBank genome assembly.
GCUUUCUUGGUGUAGUCGGUUAUCACGUCGGUCUCAUAGUUCUGGCUAUGACUAGCUUAAACAGUUAGCGAUCCGAAGGCCGCCAGUUCGAAUCUGGCAGAGAGCA